AGCUCCAAUAGCGUAUAUUAAAGUUGUUGCGGUUAAAAAGCUCGUAGUUGGAUUUCUGUGACAGACAACCGGUCUACCCUUGGGGUAAGUAUUGGUAUGGCUGUUGCAUCCUCUCGUGGAACGUUUUCUUGAUUGAUUUCUUGAGGCGGGCAGCGAGACUUUUACUUUGAGGAAAUUAGAGUGUUCACGGCAGGCAUGCGCCUUGAAUAUAUUAGCAUGGAAUAAUAAUAUAGGAUCUUCGCUCCUAUUUUGUUGGUUUCUAGGGUGAAGAUAAUGAUUAAUAGGGACAGUUUGGGGGCAUUUGUACUAAAGCGUCAGAGGUGGAAUUCUUAGAUUGCUUUAUGACAAACUACUGCGAAAGCAUUUGCCAAGGAUGUUUUCA
This 382-nucleotide ribosomal RNA is filed under the name uncultured eukaryote. RNAcentral's name for it is "SSU rRNA". It matches the Rfam family "Eukaryotic small subunit ribosomal RNA", at positions 587 to 972 of the family's 1831-position model. The record is from RNAcentral.